This 377-nucleotide RNase P RNA is filed under the name Clostridiales bacterium. RNAcentral's name for it is "RNase P RNA component class A". It matches the Rfam family "Bacterial RNase P class A". From Rfam's summary of the family: Ribonuclease P (RNase P) is a ubiquitous endoribonuclease, found in archaea, bacteria and eukarya as well as chloroplasts and mitochondria. Its best characterised activity is the generation of mature 5'-ends of tRNAs by cleaving the 5'-leader elements of precursor-tRNAs. Lineage: Bacteria; Bacillati; Bacillota; Clostridia; Eubacteriales. The record is from RNAcentral.
UGAGCAAACCAGGCAGUCGCAUGGCAGAAGGGGACUCCUGUCAUGAGGAAAGUCCGGGCUCCACAGGACAGGGUGCCAGAUAACGUCUGGCGGAGGCGACUCUAGGGAAAGUGCAACAGAAACACACCGCCCGCCCUUAGGGCAGGUAAGGUUGAAAUGGUGAGGUAAGAGCUCACCGGCGGUUCUGGUAACAGGCCGGCCGUGUAAACCCCACCCGGAGCAAGACCAAACAGGGAGGUAAUUGUCGCAAGACACAGUGCCUGAAAGGCGGUUGUCCGCCGCUUCCCGAAAGGUAGGUCGCUCGAGCCUGCCGGUGACGACAGGCCUAGAUAGAUGAUUGCCAAAUACAGAACCCGGCUUAUAGGUUUGCUCACUUU